UUUACUCAAUUAAAGUUAAUUCGUUUAAUUAUCUCUCCUAUUAAUUGUAAUUUAUCAUUUUAAUGAUACAUCUAAUUGCUGAUCGCUUAUAUCAACAUUAAAAGUGUGUUUAGAGGAAUGUUAAUCUUACAAAUGAUGAUGGAUCCAAAGUAAACAUAAAAAAGACUUAUGACUGAAGAUUGAAGAUGACGUUUUUCCCUCACUUUUUUGCUGCCCUUUUUGAAGGUUAAUAUGAUCAAACAAGGUUAAAUGAAAGGUUUGAAGUCAAGAGUCAGCUAGCCAACAAACAGCAAAAAAAACAAUAAAUACUUAUUAUAUUGUGUGAAAAGUAAACGGAUACUUAACACAAUGUAAGAUGAAAAGAAAAUAAAAAAGGAAACGAAUUACAGAUCAUCUUCAAACAUCUACAGCCACCAAGGCUAAUGGAUUUUCUUGGGUGAAACUGGCCCCGGUUGAAACUAAAAAUGAUGCCUCAUCUUUUACUCUUGCUGUUGUUUUGCUAGGAUAUGGUUUUUACGGACGAAGACAAAAAAAGAGAGGAAAAAGGAACCAUCUUUUUCUCCAAACAUUAUCUUUUACCCUGUGUGUGUAGAUGUAUUGAGUGAAUUGAGAUUGGGCUCGUAACAAGGAUAAAGGACUCAGAGAUAGCAGCUUGAUUGCUUUUUCACCUUGAUAUUUUUCCAACGACCCAUCUAUUAAAUAUAACUCUUAAAAAGCCCUCACUCUCGGCACCGGAUUUAGUUAGCAUGCAUAUCUAUCUAUAUAUUUACCAUGGUGAUGACGGAGGGAUGUACAACUAUUUAUUCUCAAGUUAAGAGGAAAAUUGACAGUUCCAAUGUAUUUUAAUGGACAUGAUACAACUGAAGCUUGGACUUUGAAUGGCGCCCAAUGUUUAAAGUUGACUGUUAAUAAGCUUUAAAUACCAACCUUCCAAGAAAGGAGUUGAUUUUAUUGGUUUAUGAUAAUUUUUCAAAUUAAUUUAACUUCCUACUAAAACCAAAAGUAGCACUAAUUAGAAUCACUAACCUGGUCUUGCUUCUCAAAUUUAAUUAAUAUUUGAUAUUUGAGCUUGUUUGAUUGAAUUUCAAAUAUCAACAAUUUUUUUUCCUUCUUUUGCUCAUCGAUUAGGGAAAUUUAAUUAUGAAAUAUAAUUUAAAUGUCUAUCCAAGUCAAUAUCUUUAGCCCAAUAAUGAAUCUAAUUAGUGAUGUUGAACCAUUUCAAGCCUCAACUCAAUUUACCUAAUGAUUACUCUCACAGUGAUUUGCAAAUUUAAAAUUCAAUCAAAAUACAUAUUUAAUGUGUACAACUCAUAAAUAUGUACACAUUUGAGUUGCUCAUUUGCCUACUGUAUGCAUAUAAUAGUCUCAUUUUCUCAUGUCUGAAUACCUUUAUUGAUGAUGUAAACCUUUUUUUUUCUACCUUUUUCAGGUUCCACCAAUUUCCAUCUAGUAUUUUCAUUCUUUCCUUCAACUAAACAAGAAAAUGGAAAACCUUUCCUGAUCUUUACUUUUUUCCUCUUCUCUUCAAACAACUCAACGCAACUCAAGUGAUCCUGAAUCAAAUGUCACAUCAAUUUGCAAACCUGAUGACAAGUAAUCAACAGUAACAACUCUAAAUCAUUAUAAUUUAGGAGAAACGCAUGUUCCAUGGAAACUUGAGGAGGUCGAUUGAUUGUGAAGGAAGUGACAAAAGAUUUACAGGGAAGAAGAAAAGAAAAGGCAAAGAAAGGAAAAGGAGGAGGAUGAUCAUGAAGAGGUGGAGAGAGGAGGAGGUUAAAUGAUUUUGUCGUUCAAUGAGAAAAGAUUAUUCGAUUGAUGAACAAUCUUGAUUUGCUUAUUUAUCCAUUAAUUUGCAUCAUCAUCAAGCUUUAUUGUUGAUCAUGGGAUGACACGAUAAUGGAGAUUGAUAAGUUUAAAAAUCAAUGAACAAAUAAUUCAAAAGUUAAACGGUUAAACAAUGGCAAAUGAACAAUCAAUGUUAAUGAUUUAAAUUACAAAACCUUCAACAUUCAUAUAUUUACACAUGAAAAUGAAUUUCAUUUCCAAUUUUCUCGUUUAUUGGAAAAUCAAAGUUGAAGUUGCCAAAUGAAACAGUUAAUUAAGUUGAAAAAAACACCAACCGAGUAGUUAAUUGUUUGCUUGUCAAUCGUUAUCCGCCCAUGAUGGAGAUGAGCAAAAAUAAGGUUAAAGAUCAGCAAAAUGUUGACUUGAGAAGCACAAAAAAUCUUGACAUUGGCUUACAGCCGUAGUUGAGCGUCAAAUUGUUGCAAUUGUUACGGAUAACAAUACAAAUGGCCAUAGAAAAGAAAAGGUAACAAGAAAAGUUGAAAAAAAUGAAUUCUCGCAAAAUGAUGAACAAAUGAAACUAAUUUUAAUCUGGCUAAUAAUCAAUCCAUCAUAAUUAAUCUGUUUAACCUUCACUUUCUUUCUCUAUUCAUAUUAUCCAAUCAAACACAAUCAAAUGGUUAAUCUUUCAAUUUGCCAACUAAUCAAUGGAAUCAUAAUUGAGGUAAAACAGGAUCAGGUACACAAGGUAAAACAUUUAAUUGUCUUUAUUAAUCAUUGUUAAACCACUACGUUUAGGGUAACCAGUAUUUAAUCAAAUGAUUAAAUUGUAUAAACUGAUGCCUUUCUGAAAUUGGUUAACUUGAUGGUUAACUAACACUGUUAACUAAAAUGCACAGUUUGCUCUAAAGACAGUGAUAAUGAGAAUGAUUAGACCUGAUAAAAAAGUCAAAAAUUAAAAUGAAAAUGAUAAGAAACCUAAAAUGAAAAUAGGAAAACCCAUUGAAAGCAAUGGAAAAUCAAGACAAAAUUGUGUCUUGAAAAUUGAAAAAAAGUGUUGAGAUUAGAUUACAUAGUGGUUUAAAUCAGUUAAACCACAAUAUCUCGAAGCUAUGAGAUAAAACUCUCGGGCUUCGCCCUCGAGUUUAUAUCUCAUAACUUCUCGAUGCAGUGGUUUAACUAUCACU
This is a non-coding RNA of Tetranychus urticae (two-spotted spider mite), 2972 nucleotides long. NCBI's taxonomy places the organism in Eukaryota, Metazoa, Arthropoda, Arachnida, Trombidiformes, Tetranychidae. The record is from RefSeq and is a predicted model, not a curated record.